RNAcentral lists this long non-coding RNA (3329 nucleotides) under Heterocephalus glaber (naked mole-rat). RNAcentral describes it as "lncRNA (ENSHGLG00100044634.1)". Lineage: Eukaryota; Metazoa; Chordata; Mammalia; Rodentia; Bathyergidae. The record is from RNAcentral.
AUUGAUAGGUCCCAAGACCUUCCAAAUGCAAUUUCUUCUCCAUGUACCACUGCAUAGCACAGCAACACUGGGCUCACUCACAAGCUGGGUGCUCCCUACUUCAGAUCAGCCUUCCAUAACUGGGAGUUCUAGCCUGUGCUGUGGUGAAAGUGUCAAAUUACUGCAAUGCUUGAACUUCUUAAAUAGCUGAAAGACCAAAUAUUGAAUCUGCAAAAUUAGUAGUAAUGUAGUAUUUGACUUCUAGUGCAAGGAGACAAAGUUUACCUCCAUUUCUGACCCUCAUAUGAUCUUGUGUAAGCUAUUCAACCUCUCUUGUGAAGUAUGAAGAUAAAAAUGGCAUGAUGUUACUGAAAGUGUUUAGUAGAUUAUAAAGUGCUACAUGAAGGAACAGUAUCAUGGUAAUGCAGGCGACUGGUCUGAUAAGUAACUAUGUUAAACUCCAAAGCAUUUCCCACCAAUUCUCAGAGGUCUAUUUUCUCAGAGUUAUUUCUGGCCUUCUCCUACUGCUUCCUCUAGAUUCCAUAUCUGUAUCAUUUCAGGUGCUCUACUUGCUGUUAGUCAGCUUUUCAUCACUGACUAAACACCUGAGAAAAACAAUUUGAAAAAGGAAAGAUUUAUUUUGGCUCAUUGUUUCAGAGGUUUCAGUGCAUGGUGGGCUGGCUCCAAUGCGGAAACAUCAUGGCAGAAGGGUGUUGUAGAGGAGAGCUGCCCACCUUACAGUACCCAGGAAGCAGAGUGAGAGGAACAGAGCCCAAGGAGAGAUACAUCCUUCAAUGGAUUAACCCAUUGAUGAGGUCAGGGCCUUCAUAAUCCAGGCAUCCCUGUAGGCCACACCUCUAAACAUUGCUGCAUUGGGAAUCAAGUGGCCAAUUGAUAAGUCUUUAAGGGACAUUUCAUAUUUAAACCAUAACUGUACUCCAAAUAUAUGUGAAUCUGCAUGUGGAAUGUGUGCCCACUCCUCAAGUCCCACCCAUAAAACUUCACAUAAGGCCUGUGCUUAUGGAAAACUUUAGUAAGAGUUUUGAGGAGGCAGACUAGGUUUACAUAACAGAAACUCCAAAUAAGUUAAAACUGAGGCUAAGUCUCACCUGCUUGAAAAUUCCUUUGGCCUUUCUACCAUCUAAGUAAAGUUCUCCUGGCUGUACUCUAAGAGAUUUUCUUCUCACAAACCAGAAAUGUAGCACAACUGUAGCAAAGAUUGUACAUACCCCCAGUACUCUCCCCUAGCACUGAUCACCCACAUGAUCCCAUCCUGCAUGCAUGGGGGAGACUUCUUGCUGUGGGCAAUGGGCCAUGGUGCCAGGAAACUGAUGUUCUCAGGGAGCAGCCCUCAGCAGUGAUAGAUGGGGUGAAGGACAAAAUCUUCCUCACUCCUGAAUCUUCCAGGAGUGGAAGAACCUUCCUCACCCCUGGAGGUGGGGGAAGGUGGAGGAAAGGAGUCACUUUGAGGUAUUUUCUAUCCUUAUCUACCAGAUUUCCCCAGUGGAACUGGCUCCAAUUGCCCACAGUGGCAAUCUACUUCAUAAUGCACAGAAAUUGGCUCCCAGGCCUGUCCCUACUCCCCCAUCCCCUCAAUCCUGGCCCUAGAGCUUCCUAGAUUCAUCCCUCAAAUAAACUACUUCUAGUCAAAUCUUUGUUUUAGCUAUUGCUGUGGUUGAAUUGUGUUUCUACCCCUAAAAAAGUUGAAGUCUUAAUCCCUGGCACCUGUGAAUAUGACCUUAGGAGGAAAAAGGGACUUCACAGAUCUACAUAAUGAAGUUAAGCUGAGCUCCUCCAUUAUAAGGGUGGGCUCUGAUCCAGUAUGAUUGGUGUCCUUAUAAUAAGAGUAGAGUGAACAUACAUGAAGAGGAGAAUCCACGUGAAGAGACCACAGGCAGAGGAAGAGCCACGAGACAACAGAAGCCAAGUAUCUACAAACCAAGAAAUAACAAGGAUUUCUGGUGACUCAAGAAGCUAAGAAAAAGGUGGGGGCUUGCUGUGUUUGCUAGGCUGGUCUUGAACUUGUGGGCUCAAGUGAUCUUCCUGCGUCAGCCUCUCAAGUAGCUGGGACUACAGGCCCAUGAAGUAUGCUGCUGGGAUUUCAAUUGGGAUCACAUUGAAUCUAUGUAGCAAUUUUGAUGUUCAACAUUCCAAAGACUGCCUUACAAUUGGCAUUUUGGAAUUGUUUGAGAUGAAAAGAGCUUCUCUCCAUUUAUGAGUGUUCCUCAGACCUGCUAUGUCAAAGAAUUCUGCUGCUCUGGAUUCAGGAAUAUUAAGAAGGAGUGCUUACAGACUUCAUCUAGAAGUUGAAUUUUCCUACAUUCCAUCACAGGUUCGUGGUACAGGACACAGAAGCAUAGCUGCCAAUCUGACGACUGCCAAGUGGUGUUGCUUGGAGGAGGCCUAGAUGGAGUGACCAGAUGAGUCUCUCCAGUCUUCCUAACCAAUGAUCCUAUUUUAUUUUGAUUUUGCUGCCUUCAAUUAUGUCACUGUUCAAUUAUGUCACAUUUUGCUAUGCCAAAAUGCUAUGUAAAGCUAUCCUUUGCUGGUGUGGGUUAUUUCUGGAAGUUGAGUUGCUGGCGCUCCUCACAGGGCUCCAGGCUGCAACUUCCUCCGGAGUCCACCAGCAGAAACCACCAGCUGGAGCUCCAGGUUGGUGGCUUUUGAAAGGCCUCAACCAAAUUGAAUUCCAUAGUUUCUUAGGAGUAAUGUCUCUCCAGAGACAUUGAGACAAAUAGCAUUUUCUGUGUCUACUAUGAAAUCAUUGGGUUUUUGGAAGACAACAGUGUUACUGGUGGUCAGUUUGGUGACUUUCACUUGUAUAAACUUGUGCCAUAGGAGUCCUCCUGCAGGGCGACUGCCUGGUUGGUGGGGCUCACUCCUUUCUGAGGGGGCCAACCAACAGAACCUUGCUGGGGUUUUCUCAAAGCCAAGUCAUUGGGUUUGUGCUUGGGUGAAAUAUUAUGUUGUGCUCUAUCAGCUCUAUAUCUGAGUGUAGAUCGAAUAUGCUUUCUCUCAGUCCAUUCACGUGGAAUGUUUUUCAUGUUUCUAUUCUUCUGACUCCUAAAAACAUGGAAAUAAAAGUCAUAUAGGAGUCUUAUCUUUUAUUUACUUAUUAAACAAAUAACUACAUAGGCACCUCUUAUAAAUAAAUAAAUAAGCUCUGAGCUCCUUUGAGAGAUCAUUCAAGGCCAGGUGUGGAGACCAGCUACCCUCAGUCAGUGUGAGCCUGAGGCUGGCAAGUCCACACCAGCCUCUCCUGUCUGCCAACCCAGAAACAGGAUCCCAUGGAUACUCAGCCCAUCUUCCUUGGACGUCUUCCACUCCAUCUUGUCUUUAACUUUCUUGGC